UACGAAGGUCCAAGCGUUAUCCGGAUUUAUUGGGUUUAAAGGGUGGCGUAGGCGGGUUAUUAAGUCAGUGGUGAAAAGCUCCAUGCCUAACAUGGAAAUUUGCCAUUGAUACUGAUGAUCUUGAGUACAUUUGAAGUGGGCGGAAUGUGUCAUGUAGUGGUGAAAUACUUAGAUAUGACACAGAACACCGAUUGCGUAGGCAGCUCACUAAACUGUAACUGACGCUAGGCACGAAAAGCGGUGGGGGAGCAAAACAGG
This 258-nucleotide ribosomal RNA is filed under the name uncultured bacterium. RNAcentral describes it as "partial 16S ribosomal RNA". It matches the Rfam family "Bacterial small subunit ribosomal RNA", at positions 524 to 776 of the family's 1533-position model. The record is from RNAcentral.